UACGUAGGGGGCUAGCGUUGUCCGGAAUUAUUGGGCGUAAAGAGCGUGUAGGCGGUUCGAUAGGUUUGCUGUGAAAGUCAGGGGCUCAACCCCUGAAUGCCGGUGAAAACUAUCGGACUAGAGUACGGAAGAGGCGAGUGGAAUUCCUGGUGUAGCGGUGAAAUGCGCAGAUAUCAGGAGGAACACCAAUUGCGAAGGCAGCUCGCUGGUACGUAACUGACGCUGAGACGCGAAAGCGUGGGGAGCAAACAGG
This 253-nucleotide ribosomal RNA is filed under the name uncultured bacterium. RNAcentral's name for it is "partial 16S ribosomal RNA". It matches the Rfam family "Bacterial small subunit ribosomal RNA", at positions 524 to 776 of the family's 1533-position model. The record is from RNAcentral.